RNAcentral lists this non-coding RNA (30 nucleotides) under Mus musculus (house mouse). The record is from RNAcentral. Lineage: Eukaryota; Metazoa; Chordata; Mammalia; Rodentia; Muridae.
UAGGUUGACCCCUCUGAAAUGCUGUGCAGU